Danio rerio (zebrafish) is the source of this 320-nucleotide non-coding RNA. NCBI's taxonomy places the organism in Eukaryota, Metazoa, Chordata, Actinopteri, Cypriniformes, Danionidae. The record is from Ensembl.
GGCGGUGCAACAGAUGACAUGGUUGAGGAUCUAAAUUACACACGGUUGCAGACCCGGCGCCCGUAGACAGCGAGAUAUCCGUGAAGAUGAGCGCGGGGACUCAGUACAAUGUAUCAGGGAGACUCUGAAGGGCCAUUGUCCGACUGAAGAUACACGGACCAAAAAAUACAGUCUAAAGUAGUACAUUUUGAGAGUCAUUGAAAACAAAAUGAUCAAAGCUGAGAGCAAGGGUGAACGCACCCUGCGGAGCGCGUCCCCGCAUAGAAAUGCCUACAAGUCGGACUUCCACGCCAUUAAGUGCUCUUUUGAUGGGACCAAAU